UGCAUGGUGGUACAGUUGGUAGCACUGUUGUUUUGAAGCAAGAAGGUCCUAGGUUCGACUCCCGGCCAAGGGUCUUUCUGCAU
Non-coding RNA from Crenichthys baileyi (White River springfish), 83 nucleotides. The record is from the annotation of a GenBank genome assembly. NCBI's taxonomy places the organism in Eukaryota, Metazoa, Chordata, Actinopteri, Cyprinodontiformes, Goodeidae.